CCCUGUGAGCAUUUUUUGGUUGACAAGACGUUUAAAAGACGUCUAUGCCCAACGUUGAAAAGACGUUGCAAAAUGGUUUAAAAGUGAAAGUUGUUUCAACGUCUAUUCGUAGACGUUGAAAAGACGUCUAUGUUUAGACCACAUUUCAACGUGAUUUUUUAAUACGGUAAUAUUUCGUCCUCUCUUGUGUGCUAUAUCAUUAUUUUAGAGGUUUAAAAAGAAACUACGUCCACAUUUGUAAGUUUACCACCGAUAUUAUAAAUCACGUUGAAAACGGGUCUAUACGCGAACGUCUUUUCAACGUCUACGAAUAGACGUUGAAACAACUUUCACUUUUAAACCAUUUUGCAACGUGUUUUCAACGUCGGGCCAUAGACGUCUUUUAAACGUUGUUUCAACGGAUAAAUUGCUCGCUGGAAACUUACAUACUUAGUCACAGUUGUCAUGUUAACAGCCCUUAACAAGGACAAACACAUUAUUUUAUUAAUUUGCAUUUAUUAUAAAUAUAACAC
Gasterosteus aculeatus aculeatus (three-spined stickleback) is the source of this 512-nucleotide long non-coding RNA. NCBI's taxonomy places the organism in Eukaryota, Metazoa, Chordata, Actinopteri, Perciformes, Gasterosteidae. The record is from Ensembl.